UUAGUUUGGUUUUACAAUUGGUUCACUGGAUUUUCCUAAAGAAAGACAAAUGUUUUCUAAAUAUAUGAAUGCAUCUAUCCUGGGGCGGCCCUCCAAGAUAAGAGGUUUAUAUGAAAUUAUUAUUCAGCUUGUUUACUUUUUAAACCUUAGUCAAGUAGUGUAAAUAAUGUUUCCCUUAUUAAGUUUACAUAGAACUCACCCUAAAUCUGUAACCCCCAUAUGAUGUGGAAGAUUUAUGAUUUGCACCCCAAGUUGUCUC
RNAcentral lists this long non-coding RNA (259 nucleotides) under Carica papaya (papaya). Its description in RNAcentral is "long non-coding RNA (CPAP_LNC005283)". Lineage: Eukaryota; Viridiplantae; Streptophyta; Magnoliopsida; Brassicales; Caricaceae. The record is from RNAcentral.